AAUCAACGCUGGCGGCGUGCCUAACACAUGCAAGUCGAACGAGAAAGGGGAGCAAUCCCUGAGUACAGUGGCGACCGGGUGAGUAACACGUGACUACCUGCCCUUGAGUGGGGGAUAACCCCGGGAAACCGGGGCUAAUACCGCAUAAUAUCGCAAGAUCAAAGGAGCAAUCCGCUUUUGGAGGGGGUCGCGGCUGAUUAGCUAGUUGGUGAGGUAAUGGCUCACCAAGGCGAAGAUCGGUAUCCGGCCUGAGAGGGCGCACGGACACACUGGAACUGAAACACGGUCCAGACUCCUACGGGAGGCAGCAGUGGGGAAUUUUGCGCAAUGGGGGAAACCCUGACGCAGCAACGCCGCGUGGAGGAUGAAGGCCCUUGGGUCGUAAACUCCUUUCGACCGGGACGAUACUGACGGUACCGGUGGAAGAAGCACCGGCUAACUCUGUGCCAGCAGCCGCGGUAAUACAGAGGGUGCGAGCGUUGUUCGGAAUUAUUGGGCGU
Molecule: ribosomal RNA, 500 nt
Filed under: uncultured soil bacterium
Lineage: Bacteria
Description: bacterial SSU rRNA
Rfam family: Bacterial small subunit ribosomal RNA
Source: RNAcentral